GUCGUACGGCUAUCUCACACAUAGCCGUGGCGGACGGGUGAGUAAUAUGUGAGUAUCUACGUUUAGGAGAGGGAUAACGUGUGGAAACGCUCGGUAAUACCUCAUAAAGCUAUUAAGUUAAAGAUUUUCUAUUAAGAUUUUCGCCUAUACAUGAGCUUGCAUCUGAUUAGUUAGUUGGUGGGGUAAUGGCUUACCAAGACUUUGAUCAGUAGUUGAUUUGAGAGAAUGGUCAACCACACUGGGACUGAGAUACGGUACAGACUCCUACGGGAGGCAGCAGUGGGGAAUAUUGCACAAUGAGCGAAAAGCUUGAUGCAGCAAUACCGCGUGGAGGAAGACGGUUUUAGAAUUGUAAACUCCUUUUUUUAGGAAAGAAUAUAUGACGGUACCUGAAGAAUAAGCAUCGGCUAAUUCUGUGCCAGCAGCCGCGGUAAUACAGGAGAUGCAAGCGUUAUCCGGAAUUAUUGGGCGUAAAGAGUGCGUAGGUUGCUGUACAUGUCUGGUAUUAAAUUUCAAAACUUAAUUUUGAUUCUGUAUUAGAAACUGUAUGGCUUGAGUGCAGUAAAGGUAAGGGGAAUUUUCAGUGUAGCGGUGAAAUGCGUAGAUAUUGGAAAGAACACCAUAGGCGAAGGCGCCUUACUGGGCUGUUACUGACUUUGAGGCACGAAAGCUGAGGUAGUGAAUCAGAUUAGAUACCUGAGUAAUCUUAGCUGUAAACGAUGGGUACUAAAUGGCGUUGAUACGCUGUUAAAGCUAACGCGUUAAGUAUCCCGCCUGGGGAGUACGCUUGCAAAAGUGAAACUCAAAGGAAUUGACGGGGGCUCGCACAAGCGGUGGAGCAUGCGGUUUAAUUCGAUGGUACCCGAAGAAACUUACCAGAACUUGACAUGCCAAUUCGCUUCUGAAAGGGAGUUUGCUUUUAAGAUUUUGGACACAGGUGGUGCAUGGCUGUCAUCAGUUCGUGUAGUGAUAUAUUUAGUUAAGUCUAGUAACGGACGCAACCCUCUCUUUUAGUUAUUUUUUUCAUGUCUAAAAGUACUGCCGAUUAUAAGUCGGAGGAAGGUGAGGAUGAGGUCAAGUCAUCAUGCCCCUUAUGUUCUGGGCUACACGCGUGCUACAAUGGUUAAGACAAUGAGUUGCCACUUCGUGAGGAGGAGCUAAUCUCUUAAACUUAACCUUAGUUCAGAUGGUAGGCUGUAACUCGCCUGCCUUAAGUCGGAAUCGCUAGUAAUCGCCAAUCAGCUAUGUGGCGGUGAAUACGUUCUCGAGCCUUGUCCACACCGCCCGUCACACCAUGAGAGUUGGCAAUACCUGAAGAUAGUCUUUCAACAUUUGAGGAAUCUAUCUAUGGUCGGGUUAAUAAUUGGG
This 1368-nucleotide ribosomal RNA is filed under the name Trachelomonas sp. RNAcentral describes it as "SSU rRNA". It matches the Rfam family "Bacterial small subunit ribosomal RNA". The record is from RNAcentral. Lineage: Eukaryota; Euglenozoa; Euglenophyceae; Euglenales; Euglenaceae.